GGCUCAGGAUGAACGCUAGCUACAGGCUUAACACAUGCAAGUCGAGGGGCAGCGGGAUUGAAGCUUGCUUCAAUUGCCGGCGACCGGCGCACGGGUGAGUAACGCGUAUCCAACCUUCCGUACACUCAGGGAUAGCCUUUCGAAAGAAAGAUUAAUACCUGAUGGUAUGAUGAGAUUGCAUGAUAGCAUCAUUAAAGAUUUAUCGGUGUACGAUGGGGAUGUGUUCCAUUAGGUAGUAGGCGGGGUAACGGCCCACCUAGCCAACGAUGGAUAGGGGUUCUGAGAGGAAGGUCCCCCACAUUGGAACUGAGACACGGUCCAAACUCCUACGGGAGGCAGCAGUGAGGAAUAUUGGUCAAUGGACGAGAGUCUGAACCAGCCAAGUAGCGUGAAGGAUGAAGGUCCUACGGAUUGUAAACUUCUUUUAUAAGGGAAUAAACCCUCCCACGUGUGGGAGCUUGUAUGUACCUUAUGAAUAAGCAUCGGCUAACUCCGUG
Molecule: ribosomal RNA, 497 nt
Filed under: uncultured bacterium
Lineage: Bacteria
Description: bacterial SSU rRNA
Rfam family: Bacterial small subunit ribosomal RNA
Source: RNAcentral